This is a long non-coding RNA of Phymastichus coffea, 502 nucleotides long. RefSeq lists it as uncharacterized. The transcript is spliced from 3 exons. The record is from RefSeq and is a predicted model, not a curated record. Lineage: Eukaryota; Metazoa; Arthropoda; Insecta; Hymenoptera; Eulophidae.
UAUCAACGCCUUGCGCUUAUUCGAGUACAAGCAGUGGAAAAUAUUGCAUCGCAAUAGUUAGACCAGAUCUUACUACAAAAUGUUGCGUGGUUUUAUUAUAAGUUUUCUUAUUAUUUCGGUCAUCAGUGUUGUGCAGGUAAACGCUGCUCCAUCAAAUGAUCGUCCUGAUUCUCCGGUUGCCGAAAUGCACGAUUUUUCCGAUGCAGUCAAACUAAUUCCUAAACUAGACCGAAUUGACAGCAUGAUGCUAGAUAUGGCGAAAAAUGUAAAGAAGAAGAUAAAGGAUGAAUUUUUCGAUUUGUUGCCCAUAUAGAUGACAUCGAUUCAACAUUGAAAACAACGGAGUUCAGAAAUUCAAUUCGGCAAUCUAUAUUAUCAAGUUACACUUAUUAUGUCAGAAGUUGGCAAAGCGUAAAUGAAAGUAAUCCUUUUGUUAUAAACGAUGCAUGGAAAAUAAAAUAUAGCUAAGAUUUUAAUAUCCGAAAAUAAAGGUUCAACUUUA